GAGUUUGAUCAUGGCUCAGAUUGAACGCUGGCGGCAGGCCUAACACAUGCAAGUCGAACGGUAACAGGAAGCAGCUUGCUGCUUUGCUGACGAGUGGCGGACGGGUGAGUAAUGUCUGGGAAACUGCCUGAUGGAGGGGGAUAACUACUGGAAACGGUAGCUAAUACCGCAUAACGUCGCAAGACCAAAGAGGGGGACCUUCGGGCCUCUUGCCAUCGGAUGUGCCCAGAUGGGAUUAGCUUGUUGGUGGGGUAACGGCUCACCAAGGCGACGAUCCCUAGCUGGUCUGAGAGGAUGACCAGCCACACUGGAACUGAGACACGGUCCAGACUCCUACGGGAGGCAGCAGUGGGGAAUAUUGCACAAUGGGCGCAAGCCUGAUGCAGCCAUGCCGCGUGUAUGAAGAAGGCCUUCGGGUUGUAAAGUACUUUCAGCGGGGAGGAAGGGAGUAAAGUUAAUACCUUUACUCAUUGACGUUACCCGCAGAAGAAGCACCGGCUAACUCCGUGCCAGCAGCCGCGGUAAUACGGAGGGUGCAAGCGUUAAUCGGAAUUACUGGGCGUAAAGCGCACGCAGGCGGUUUGUUAAGUCAGAUGUGAAAUCCCCGGGCUCAACCUGGGAACUGCAUCUGAUACUGGCAAGCUUGAGUCUCGUAGAGGGGGGUAGAAUUCCAGGUGUAGCGGUGAAAUGCGUAGAGAUCUGGAGGAAUACCGGUGGCGAAGGCGGCCCCCUGGACGAAGACUGACGCUCAGGUGCGAAAGCGUGGGGAGCAAACAGGAUUAGAUACCCUGGUAGUCCACGCCGUAAACGAUGUCGACUUGGAGGUUGUGCCCUUGAGGCGUGGCUUCCGGAGCUAACGCGUUAAGUCGACCGCCUGGGGAGUACGGCCGCAAGGUUAAAACUCAAAUGAAUUGACGGGGGCCCGCACAAGCGGUGGAGCAUGUGGUUUAAUUCGAUGCAACGCGAAGAACCUUACCUGGUCUUGACAUCCACGGAAGUUUUCAGAGAUGAGAAUGUGCCUUCGGGAACCGUGAGACAGGUGCUGCAUGGCUGUCGUCAGCUCGUGUUGUGAAAUGUUGGGUUAAGUCCCGCAACGAGCGCAACCCUUAUCCUUUGUUGCCAGCGGUCCGGCCGGGAACUCAAAGGAGACUGCCAGUGAUAAACUGGAGGAAGGUGGGGAUGACGUCAAGUCAUCAUGGCCCUUACGACCAGGGCUACACACGUGCUACAAUGGCGCAUACAAAGAGAAGCGACCUCGCGAGAGCAAGCGGACCUCAUAAAGUGCGUCGUAGUCCGGAUUGGAGUCUGCAACUCGACUCCAUGAAGUCGGAAUCGCUAGUAAUCGUGGAUCAGAAUGCCACGGUGAAUACGUUCCCGGGCCUUGUACACACCGCCCGUCACACCAUGGGAGUGGGUUGCAAAAGAAGUAGGUAGCUUAACCUUCGGGAGGGCGCUUACCACUUUGUGAUUCAUGACUGGGGUGAAGUCGUAACAAGGUAACCGUAGGGGAACCUGCGGUUGGAUCACC
Molecule: ribosomal RNA, 1528 nt
Filed under: Escherichia coli DEC10E
Lineage: Bacteria; Pseudomonadati; Pseudomonadota; Gammaproteobacteria; Enterobacterales; Enterobacteriaceae
Description: bacterial SSU rRNA
Rfam family: Bacterial small subunit ribosomal RNA
Source: RNAcentral